GGUAUAUUAGCUCAGUUGGUUAGAGCGUGGUACUAAUAAUGCCAAGGUUACAGGCUAGACCCCUGUGUGGACUA
This 74-nucleotide transfer RNA is filed under the name Sphaerobolus stellatus SS14. RNAcentral describes it as "tRNA-Ile (AAT) (tRNA-Ile-AAT-34-1)". It matches the Rfam family "tRNA". Rfam says of the family: Transfer RNA (tRNA) molecules are approximately 80 nucleotides in length. Their secondary structure includes four short double-helical elements and three loops (D, anti-codon, and T loops). The record is from Rfam by way of RNAcentral. Lineage: Eukaryota; Fungi; Basidiomycota; Agaricomycetes; Geastrales; Sphaerobolaceae.